Molecule: non-coding RNA, 108 nt
Organism: Pseudomonas sp. EGD-AK9
Lineage: Bacteria; Pseudomonadati; Pseudomonadota; Gammaproteobacteria; Pseudomonadales; Pseudomonadaceae
Source: Rfam
AUCCCCUGCAGCGACGGAUCGCUGAGGAUCAAGGACGAUGACCAGGCCCGGAUGGCCACCGACAGGAUGUCGGAUGGUUGGGAAGAAACCCGCUUCGGCGGGUUUUUU